RNAcentral lists this ribosomal RNA (434 nucleotides) under uncultured Clostridiales Family XIV bacterium. RNAcentral's name for it is "bacterial SSU rRNA". It matches the Rfam family "Bacterial small subunit ribosomal RNA", at positions 341 to 792 of the family's 1533-position model. Lineage: Bacteria; Bacillati; Bacillota; Clostridia; Eubacteriales; Clostridiales Family XIV. Incertae Sedis. The record is from RNAcentral.
ACGGGAGGCAGCAGUGGGGAAUAUUGGACAAUGGGGGAAACCCUGAUCCAGCGACGCCGCGUGAGUGAAGAAGUAUUUCGGUAUGUAAAGCUCUAUCAGCAAGAAAGAAAAUGACGGUACUUGACUAAGAAGCCCCGGCUAACUACGUGCCAGCAGCCGCGGUAAUACGUAGGGGGCAAGCGUUAUCCGGAUUUACUGGGUGUAAAGGGAGCGUAGACGGCGAUGCAAGUCUGAAGUGAAAGCCCGGGGCUCAACCCCGGAACUGCUUUGGAAACUGUAUAGCUAGAGUGCAGGAGAGGUAUGUGGAAUUCCUAGUGUAGCGGUGAAAUGCGUAGAUAUUAGGAGGAACACCGGUGGCGAAGGCGGCCUGCUGGACUGUAACUGACGUUGAGGCUCGAAAGCGUGGGGAGCAAACAGGAUUAGAUACCCUGGUA